UCUCCGCUUGCGCGGGCAGUCUUUUUAGAGUCCCCACCUUUACCUGAUGGCAACUAGUGAUGGGGGUUGCGCUCGUUGCGGGACUUAACCCAACACCUCACGGCACGAGCUGACGACAGCCAUGCAGCACCUAGUUUCGUGUCAUUGCUGACGGACAUGUUUCCACAUCCUUCACUAACUUUCAAGCCCUGGUAAGGUUCCUCGCGUAUCAUCGAAUUAAACCACAUGCUCCUCCGCUUGUGCGGGCCCCCGUCAAUUCCUUUGAGUUUCAGUCUUGCGACCGUACUCCCCAGGCGGAGUGCUUAAUGUGUUGACUUCGGCACAGCAGGGGUCGAUACCCGCUACACCAAGCACUCAUCGUUUACGGCGUGGACUAC
This 377-nucleotide unclassified non-coding RNA is filed under the name uncultured bacterium. RNAcentral's name for it is "contains 16S-23S intergenic spacer region". The record is from RNAcentral.